AAAGUUAAAUUAAUAAAUUAAAAGUAAUAAAUAUUAUAAUAAAAGAAUUUUUAAAAUAAAAAUAUUUAAUGGGGGUUAAAGUAUUUUUAAAGAAAAAAUUUAAUAAUUUAUAGUAAAAUAGUAUUGUGAAAGAAAUUUGAAAUAAUAAUGAAAAUUAAUUAAUAAAAAAGUAAAAUUUAAUUUUUGUAUCUUGUGUAUCAGAGUUUAUUUAAUAAAUUAUUAAAUUUAAUAAUUCUCGAAUUUAAAAGAGAAAAUUAAUUAUAAAAUUUAUUGUUUCAAAAAUAUUUUUAAUAAUUAAUUUGAAAUGAAAUGUUAAUCGUUUUUAAAAAUAUCUAGUUAUUUUAGAAAAAAAUUUAAUUUUAAAAUAAAAUGAUAAAAAUAAAUUUUUAAAAUAUUUAUUUUUUUUUAGUUUAUUUUUAUAAUUUAAGGGAUAAGCUUUAAAUUAGAAUAUUAUAAUUAAUUAUUUAUUUAAUUAAAAUUUUUAGAAUUUAAAUUGUUAAAAAAUUAUAAUUUUUUAUAAAUAAUUUUAAAUUAAAUUAAAAUUUAAAAAUUAAAUUUAAUUUUUUAUAAAAAAAUAAUUAAAAAUAAAAUUUAAUUAGAAAUAAUGAUAAAAUUAGUAUAUAAUUAAUUAUAUAUAUAUAUAUAUAUAUAUAAAUAAAUUAAAGUUUAGUUUAAUAAUAAAUAAUUAAAAGGAAUUCGGCAAAUAUUUAUAUUCACUUGUUUAUCAAAAACAUGUCUUUUUGGAAAUAAUUUAAAGUCUAAUCUGCCCACUGAUAAAUUAUUAAAGGGCUGCAGUAAUUUGACUGUACAAAGGUAGCAUAAUCAAUAGUCUCUUAAUUGGUGACUUGUAUGAAUGAUUGGAUGAAAUAUAAACUGUCUCUUAAUUAUAAGUAAAAAUUAAUUUUUUAGUUAAAAAGCUAAAAUAAAUUUAAAAGACGAGAAGACCCUAUAGAGUUUUAUUAUUUAAUUAAUUAAUAAAAUUAAUAAAAAAAAAUUAGAUAUUAAUUAAAUUAUUUUGUUGGGGUGAUAGAAAAAUUUAAUAAACUUUUUUUUAAAAAAAAACAUGAAUAAGUGAAAUAAUGAUCCUUAAUUUGAGAUUAUAAGAAAAAAUUACCUUAGGGAUAACAGCGUUAUUUUUUUUUUUAGAUCAUAUAAAAAAAAAAGUUUGCGACCUCGAUGUUGGAUUAAGAUAAAAUUUAAAUGCAAAAGUUUAAAAUUUUGAUCUGUUCGAUCAUUAAAAUCUUACAUGAUCUGAGUUCAAACCGGUGUGAGCCAGGUUGGUUUCUAUCUUUAAAAAAUUAAAAUAUUUUAGUACGAAAGGAUCAAAUAUAUAAAAUAAUUUUAUAAAAAGAAAAUUAUUAAUGAAAUUUAAAUUUGAA
This 1379-nucleotide ribosomal RNA is filed under the name Stathmopoda auriferella. RNAcentral's name for it is "16S ribosomal RNA". The stretch from base 1082 to 1283 matches the Rfam family "Eukaryotic large subunit ribosomal RNA", at positions 2409 to 2988 of the family's 3401-position model. The record is from RNAcentral. Lineage: Eukaryota; Metazoa; Arthropoda; Insecta; Lepidoptera; Oecophoridae.